Molecule: long non-coding RNA, 351 nt
Filed under: Gossypium barbadense (sea-island cotton)
Lineage: Eukaryota; Viridiplantae; Streptophyta; Magnoliopsida; Malvales; Malvaceae
Description: long non-coding RNA (GBAR_LNC002809)
Source: RNAcentral
GCUGCACUCUCAGGGGACGAACCGAUUGGAGUAGGACUCGAUGGGCUACUGCUCGACGGGAAAAUCCCGGGACUUUCCGCCGGCGUUUUUGAACUCGAAGGAAUAUCAGCCGAAACAGGUGGAGCCCCGGCCGGAGUCAUUGAUGGAGGUGAACUAGUUGGAGUCAAUGAAGGCGGAGAACUUGAAGGAGUCGACGCCGGAGGAGAAGCAGUUGGGGGAGAAAUCGAUGGGCUAGAAGAAGAAGGCGGAGUCGCAGCCGGUGGUUGGAUCUGUGGAGGAGGAGUAGUAGUCGGAGAUUUUGCAGGCGACGAUGAUGUUGUUGGAGAACUCGCGGGAGGCGAUGAUGUUGUU